Marchantia polymorpha subsp. ruderalis is the source of this 125-nucleotide non-coding RNA. Lineage: Eukaryota; Viridiplantae; Streptophyta; Marchantiopsida; Marchantiales; Marchantiaceae. The record is from the annotation of a GenBank genome assembly.
CGUCGUGGAGUGUGCUGCUUACUGUGAUGUUGGUGAGGCUCAAUCAGAUGACAAUGCUAAUGGAUAGCGUAGCCAUCAGGCUGAGCCGCUCCAAUAUCACAUUCUGUGAUCUCCGCACUCCGAUG